AUGAGUGUGUUCAAGCUUCCAGCCUCCGUGUGUGAUGACCUAACACGGAUGAUGCGACAAUAUUGGUGGGGUGUUGAGAAUGGAAAGAAGAAGAUGGCCUGGCUUAGUUGGGAAAAAAUGAAAUUGCCCAAAUCAAUGGGAGGAAUGGGAUUUAGAGAUAUGCGGGCAUUUAAUCAAGCGUUGUUUCUAACAACGCUUGGCGGUUGCUAG
This 210-nucleotide ribosomal RNA is filed under the name Triticum aestivum (bread wheat). Its description in RNAcentral is "partial small subunit ribosomal RNA". Lineage: Eukaryota; Viridiplantae; Streptophyta; Magnoliopsida; Poales; Poaceae. The record is from RNAcentral.